Molecule: non-coding RNA, 84 nt
Organism: Bombyx mori (domestic silkworm)
Lineage: Eukaryota; Metazoa; Arthropoda; Insecta; Lepidoptera; Bombycidae
Source: Rfam
UUAACUCUAAUUUGUAUGGAGUUGGAACGUUUGCCUACGUUUGCCGCUAGGGGCGCUGCCCCAACUCCAUACAAAUUUGAGUUA